GGAACAGUACUCAAGUCGGUCGAAGAGGCGGUCCUGCUAAGACUGUAGGGGAGGCAACUCCCGCGGAGGUUCGAAUCCUCUCUGUUCCGCCA
Molecule: transfer RNA, 92 nt
Filed under: Mycoplasmopsis meleagridis
Lineage: Bacteria; Bacillati; Mycoplasmatota; Mycoplasmoidales; Metamycoplasmataceae
Description: Mycoplasma meleagridis tRNA-Ser(gct)
Rfam family: tRNA
About the family: Transfer RNA (tRNA) molecules are approximately 80 nucleotides in length. Their secondary structure includes four short double-helical elements and three loops (D, anti-codon, and T loops).
Source: RNAcentral